Acipenser ruthenus (sterlet) is the source of this 411-nucleotide non-coding RNA. NCBI's taxonomy places the organism in Eukaryota, Metazoa, Chordata, Actinopteri, Acipenseriformes, Acipenseridae. The record is from the annotation of a RefSeq genome assembly.
CUGAAGCAUCUGAUACAGUAGAAGCCAAACCUUCAAACAAUGCGUUUCCUGAGAGAUUUACUGCUGCUCUGUGUGGGUUUGCAGUAUGCAGGCUGUGCUGAGGUUAUAACCCAGCCCAUUUCAGAAGUCAGAAGGCCAGGAGAAUCUCUCAAGCUGUCUUGUAAAAUCUCUGGAUACUCUUUGACUGACAGCAGUAGCUGGUACGGCACAGGCUGGAUUCGUCAGCCCCCCAGGAAAGCACUGGAAUGGCUGGCAGUUGUGUGGUAUGAUGCAGACACAGCCUACCUGCCUUCAGUCCAGGGCCGGUUCACAGUCAGCAAGUCUGAUUCCAGCAGCACUGUGUUCUUACAGAUGAACAGCCUGAAGACUGAAGACACUGCCAUGCAUUACUGUGCUGGAGACCCACAGUGA